RNAcentral lists this ribosomal RNA (1476 nucleotides) under metagenome. RNAcentral describes it as "bacterial SSU rRNA". It matches the Rfam family "Bacterial small subunit ribosomal RNA". The record is from RNAcentral.
AGAGUUUGAUCCUGGCUCAGGAUGAACGCUGGCGGCGUGCUUAACACAUGCAAGUCGAACGGGAAAUAUUUCAUUGAGACUUCGGUGGAUUUGAUCUAUUUCUAGUGGCGGACGGGUGAGUAACGCGUGGGUAACCUGCCUUAUACAGGGGGAUAACGGUCAGAAAUGGCUGCUAAUACCACAUAAGCGCACAGAGCUGCAUGGCUCAGUGUGAAAAACUCCGGUGGUAUAAGAUGGACCCGCGUUGGAUUAGCUAGUUGGUGGGGUAACGGCCCACCGAGGCGACGAUCCAUAGCCGGCCUGAGAGGGUGAACGGCCACAUUGGGACUGAGACACGGCCCAGACUCCUACGGGAGGCAGCAGUGGGGAAUAUUGCACAAUGGGGGAAACCCUGAUGCAGCGACGCCGCGUGAAGGAAGAAGUAUCUCGGUAUGUAAACUUCUAUCAGCAGGGAAGAUAGUGACGGUACCUGACUAAGAAGCCCCGGCUAACUACGUGCCAGCAGCCGCGGUAAUACGUAGGGGGCAAGCGUUAUCCGGAUUUACUGGGUGUAAAGGGAGCGUAGACGGUGUGGCAAGUCUGGUGUGAAAGGCAUGGGCUCAACCUGUGGACUGCAUUGGAAACUGUCAUACUUGAGUGCCGGAGGGGUAAGCGGAAUUCCUAGUGUAGCGGUGAAAUGCUUAAAUAUCACGAAGAACUCCGAUUGCGAAGGCAGCUCACUGGAGCGCAACUGACGCUGAAGCUCGAAAGUGCGGGUAUCGAACAGGAUUAGAUACCCUGGUAGUCCGCACGGUAAACGAUGGAUGCCCGCUGUUGGUCUGAACAGGUCAGCGGCCAAGCGAAAGCAUUAAGCAUCCCACCUGGGGAGUACGCCGGCAACGGUGAAACUCAAAGGAAUUGACGGGGGCCCGCACAAGCGGAGGAACAUGUGGUUUAAUUCGAUGAUACGCGAGGAACCUUACCCGGGCUUGAAUUGCAGAGGAAGGAUUUGGAGACAAUGACGCCCUUCGGGGUCUCUGUGAAGGUGCUGCAUGGUUGUCGUCAGCUCGUGCCGUGAGGUGUCGGCUUAAGUGCCAUAACGAGCGCAACCCCUCUCCUUAGUUGCCAUCAGGUUAAGCUGGGCACUCUGGGGACACUGCCACCGUAAGGUGUGAGGAAGGUGGGGAUGACGUCAAAUCAGCACGGCCCUUACGUCCGGGGCCACACACGUGUUACAAUGGCAGGUACAGAGAGACGGUUGUACGUAAGUACGAUCAAAUCCUUAAAGCCUGUCUCAGUUCGGACUGGGGUCUGCAACCCGACCCCACGAAGCUGGAUUCGCUAGUAAUCGCGCAUCAGCCAUGGCGCGGUGAAUACGUUCCCGGGCCUUGUACACACCGCCCGUCAAGCCAUGAAAGCCGGGGGCGCCUAAAGUCCGUGACCGUAAGGAGCGGCCUAGGGCGAAACUGGUAAUUGGGGCUAAGUCGUAACAAGGUA